RNAcentral lists this ribosomal RNA (406 nucleotides) under uncultured bacterium. Its description in RNAcentral is "partial 16S ribosomal RNA". It matches the Rfam family "Bacterial small subunit ribosomal RNA", at positions 28 to 526 of the family's 1533-position model. The record is from RNAcentral.
GACGAACGCUGGCGGCGUGCUUAACACAUGCAAGUCGAACGAGUGGCGGACGGGUGAGUAAUGUCUGGGAAACUGCCCGAUGGAGGGGGCUAACUACUGGAAACGGUAGCUACUACCGCAUACCAUCGGAUGUGCCCAGAUGGGAUUAGCUAGUAGGUGGGGUAACGGCUCACCUAGGCGACGAUCCCUAGCUGGUCUGAGAGGAUGACCAGCCACACUGGAACUGGGACACGGGCCAGCAUCCGACGGGAGGCAGCGGCGGGGAAUAUUGCACAAUGGGCGCGAGCCUGAUACAGCCAUGCCGCGUGUAUGAAGAAGGCCUUCGGGUUGUAAAGUACGUUCAGCGAGGAGGCGUUACUCGCAGAAGAAGCACCGGCUAACUCCGUGCCAGCCGCCGCGGUAAUAC